This 1547-nucleotide ribosomal RNA is filed under the name Salmonella enterica subsp. enterica serovar Typhimurium. RNAcentral describes it as "bacterial SSU rRNA". It matches the Rfam family "Bacterial small subunit ribosomal RNA". Lineage: Bacteria; Pseudomonadati; Pseudomonadota; Gammaproteobacteria; Enterobacterales; Enterobacteriaceae. The record is from RNAcentral.
AAAUUGAAGAGUUUGAUCAUGGCUCAGAUUGAACGCUGGCGGCAGGCCUAACACAUGCAAGUCGAACGGUAACAGGAAGCAGCUUGCUGCUUUGCUGACGAGUGGCGGACGGGUGAGUAAUGUCUGGGAAACUGCCUGAUGGAGGGGGAUAACUACUGGAAACGGUGGCUAAUACCGCAUAACGUCGCAAGACCAAAGAGGGGGACCUUCGGGCCUCUUGCCAUCAGAUGUGCCCAGAUGGGAUUAGCUUGUUGGUGAGGUAACGGCUCACCAAGGCGACGAUCCCUAGCUGGUCUGAGAGGAUGACCAGCCACACUGGAACUGAGACACGGUCCAGACUCCUACGGGAGGCAGCAGUGGGGAAUAUUGCACAAUGGGCGCAAGCCUGAUGCAGCCAUGCCGCGUGUAUGAAGAAGGCCUUAGGGUUGUAAAGUACUUUCAGCGGGGAGGAAGGUGUUGCGGUUAAUAACCGCAGCAAUUGACGUUACCCGCAGAAGAAGCACCGGCUAACUCCGUGCCAGCAGCCGCGGUAAUACGGAGGGUGCAAGCGUUAAUCGGAAUUACUGGGCGUAAAGCGCACGCAGGCGGUCUGUCAAGUCGGAUGUGAAAUCCCCGGGCUCAACCUGGGAACUGCAUUCGAAACUGGCAGGCUUGAGUCUUGUAGAGGGGGGUAGAAUUCCAGGUGUAGCGGUGAAAUGCGUAGAGAUCUGGAGGAAUACCGGUGGCGAAGGCGGCCCCCUGGACAAAGACUGACGCUCAGGUGCGAAAGCGUGGGGAGCAAACAGGAUUAGAUACCCUGGUAGUCCACGCCGUAAACGAUGUCUACUUGGAGGUUGUGCCCUUGAGGCGUGGCUUCCGGAGCUAACGCGUUAAGUAGACCGCCUGGGGAGUACGGCCGCAAGGUUAAAACUCAAAUGAAUUGACGGGGGCCCGCACAAGCGGUGGAGCAUGUGGUUUAAUUCGAUGCAACGCGAAGAACCUUACCUGGUCUUGACAUCCACAGAACUUUCCAGAGAUGGAUUGGUGCCUUCGGGAACUGUGAGACAGGUGCUGCAUGGCUGUCGUCAGCUCGUGUUGUGAAAUGUUGGGUUAAGUCCCGCAACGAGCGCAACCCUUAUCCUUUGUUGCCAGCGGUUAGGCCGGGAACUCAAAGGAGACUGCCAGUGAUAAACUGGAGGAAGGUGGGGAUGACGUCAAGUCAUCAUGGCCCUUACGACCAGGGCUACACACGUGCUACAAUGGCGCAUACAAAGAGAAGCGACCUCGCGAGAGCAAGCGGACCUCAUAAAGUGCGUCGUAGUCCGGAUUGGAGUCUGCAACUCGACUCCAUGAAGUCGGAAUCGCUAGUAAUCGUGGAUCAGAAUGCCACGGUGAAUACGUUCCCGGGCCUUGUACACACCGCCCGUCACACCAUGGGAGUGGGUUGCAAAAGAAGUAGGUAGCUUAACCUUCGGGAGGGCGCUUACCACUUUGUGAUUCAUGACUGGGGUGAAGUCGUAACAAGGUAACCGUAGGGGAACCUGCGGUUGGAUCACCUCCUUACCUUA